CUGACACAGGGAGGUAGUGACAAGAAAUAACAAUACAGGGCUAUCUUAGUCUUGUAAUUGGAAUGAGUACAAUUUACAUCUCUUCACGAGGAUCAAUUGGAGGGCAAGUCUGGUGCCAGCAGCCGCGGUAAUUCCAGCUCCAAUAGCGUAUAUUAAAGUUGUUGCAGUUAAAACGCUCGUAGUCGGAUUUCGGGGCGGGCCCGCCGGUCUGCCGAUGGGUAUGCACUGGCGGGCGCGUCCUUCCUUCCGGAGACUGGCCCUACUCUUAACUGAGCGGGGUCGGGAGACGGAUCGUUUACUUUGAAAAAUCAGAGUGUUUCAAGCAGGCAGCUCGCUCUUGCAUGGAUUAGCAUGGGAUAAUGAAAUAGGACUUUGGUGCUAUUUUGUUGGUUUCGAACACCGAAGUAAUGAUUAACAGGGACAGUCAGGGGCACUCGUAUUCCGCCGAGAGAGGUGAAAUUCUCAGACCAGCGGAAGACGAACCACUGCGAAAGCAUUUGCCGA
Molecule: ribosomal RNA, 504 nt
Filed under: Haptophyta environmental samples
Lineage: Eukaryota; Haptophyta
Description: SSU rRNA
Rfam family: Eukaryotic small subunit ribosomal RNA
Source: RNAcentral